UACGUAGGGGGCAAGCGUUGUCCGGAUUCAUUGGGCGUAAAGAGCGUGUAGGCGGCCAGGUAGGUCGGUUGUGAAAACUGGAGGCUCAACCUUCAGACGUCGACUGAAACCAUCUGGCUAGAGUCCGGGAGAGGAGAGUGGAAUUCCUGGUGUAGCGGUGAAAUGCGCAGAUAUCAGGAAGAACACCCGUGGCGAAAGCGGCUCUCUGGAACGGUACUGACGCUGAGACGCGAAAGCGUGGGGAGCGAACAGG
RNAcentral lists this ribosomal RNA (253 nucleotides) under uncultured bacterium. Its description in RNAcentral is "partial 16S ribosomal RNA". It matches the Rfam family "Bacterial small subunit ribosomal RNA", at positions 524 to 776 of the family's 1533-position model. The record is from RNAcentral.